Lepisosteus oculatus (spotted gar) is the source of this 119-nucleotide ribosomal RNA. The record is from Ensembl. Lineage: Eukaryota; Metazoa; Chordata; Actinopteri; Semionotiformes; Lepisosteidae.
GCCAGCAGUCAUGUCACCCUGCAACUCACAACUGGCAACCCACUGAAGCUAAGCAGGUGUGAGCCUGGUCAGUACCUGGAUGGGAGACCUCCUGGGAAAAAUUAAGAUUGCUGCUGGAA